GAUCCUGGCUCAGGAUGAACGCUAGCGGCAGGCUUAACACAUGCAAGUCGAGGGGCAGCGGGUGUAGCAAUACACUGCCGGCGACCGGUCGCACGGGUGCGUAACGCGUAUGCAACCUACCCAUAACAGGGGCAUAACACUGAGAAAUUGGUACUAAUUCCCCAUAACAUUCGAAGAGGCAUCUCUUUGGGUUGAAAACUCCGGUGGUUUAUGGAUGGGCAUGCUUGUAUUAGGCUAGUUGG
This 242-nucleotide ribosomal RNA is filed under the name uncultured bacterium. RNAcentral's name for it is "partial 16S ribosomal RNA". It matches the Rfam family "Bacterial small subunit ribosomal RNA", at positions 15 to 252 of the family's 1533-position model. The record is from RNAcentral.